AGAAUACUUGAAGAACAUAUCUUAUCUUCAACUGGGAGCAAGUGUUAAUCUCCAUUAACAGAAGCAAAGUAAGCAGGAAAUCCCCCAAGAAAACAUCAUAUUUAAUCAUCAUUUCUCAUUAGAUUUAGUUUUAUUGUACCAUGUUCUCAAGAAUUCUUUGAUGACUUUCAUGGUUUUGAACAGAAGCAGUGUGAAAUUUUGUGCAGUGUUUGUCAUGAACAGGUCUCGAUUCUCAUGUGGAUAUUACAAGCCAGUAUAUACAUUCCAUUACACUAAACUCUGUUAUUUAGGAGCAAACAUUUCAUCUAUGACAGUUCACUUAAAAGCAAUAAACAUACUUCAAUUUGCC
Oryctolagus cuniculus (rabbit) is the source of this 349-nucleotide non-coding RNA. NCBI's taxonomy places the organism in Eukaryota, Metazoa, Chordata, Mammalia, Lagomorpha, Leporidae. The record is from RefSeq and is a predicted model, not a curated record.